RNAcentral lists this ribosomal RNA (253 nucleotides) under uncultured bacterium. RNAcentral's name for it is "partial 16S ribosomal RNA". It matches the Rfam family "Bacterial small subunit ribosomal RNA", at positions 524 to 776 of the family's 1533-position model. The record is from RNAcentral.
UACGUAGGGUGCAAGCGUUGUCCGGAAUUAUUGGGCGUAAAGAGCUCGUAGGCGGUCUGUCGCGUCUGCUGUGAAAACUCAGGGCUUAACCCUGAGCUUGCAGUGGGUACGGGCAGACUAGAGUGCGGUAGGGGAGACUGGAAUUCCUGGUGUAGCGGUGAAAUGCGUAGAGAUCCGGAGGAACACCAAAGGCGAAGGCAGUGUCCUGGGAAGUACCUGACGCUCAGGUGCGAAAGCCAGGGGAGCGAACGGG